GAGCGAACAGGAUUAGAUACCCUGGUAGUCCACGCCGUAAACGGUGGGUACUAGUNGUGGGUUUCCUUCCUUGGGAUCCGUGCCGUAGCUAACGCAUUAAGUACCCCGCCUGGGGAGUACGGCCGCAAGGCUAAAACUCAAAGAAAUUGACGGGGGCCCGCACAAGCGGCGGAGCAUGUGGAUUAAUUCGAUGCAACGCGAAGAACCUUACCUGGGUUUGACAUGCACAGGACGCCGGCAGAGAUGUCGGUUCCCUUGUGGCCUGUGUGCAGGUGGUGCAUGGCUGUCGUCAGCUCGUGUCGUGAGAUGUUGGGUUAAGUCCCGCAACGAGCGCAACCCUUGUCUCAUGUUGCCAGCGGGUAAAGCCGGGGACUCGUGAGAGACUGCCGGGGUCAACUCGGAGGAAGGUGGGGAUGACGUCAAGUCAUCAUGCCCCUUAUGUCCAGGGCUUCACACAUGCUACAAUGGCCGGUACAAAGGGCUGCGAUGCCGCGAGGUUAAGCGAAUCCUUUUAAAGCCGGUCUCAGUUCGGAUCG
RNAcentral lists this ribosomal RNA (536 nucleotides) under uncultured bacterium. RNAcentral describes it as "bacterial SSU rRNA". It matches the Rfam family "Bacterial small subunit ribosomal RNA", at positions 766 to 1300 of the family's 1533-position model. The record is from RNAcentral.